Molecule: ribosomal RNA, 498 nt
Filed under: uncultured bacterium
Lineage: Bacteria
Description: partial 16S ribosomal RNA
Rfam family: Bacterial small subunit ribosomal RNA
Source: RNAcentral
GACGAACGCUGGCGGCGUGCCUAAUACAUGCAAGUCGAACGAGAGCGACCGGUGCUUGCACUGGUCAAUCUAGUGGCGAACGGGUGAGUAACACGUGGGUAACCUGCCCAUCAGAGGGGGAUAACAUCCGGAAACGGAUGCUAAAACCGCAUAGGUCUUCGAACCGCAUGGUUUGAAGAGGAAAAGAGGCGCAAGCUUCUGCUGAUGGAUGGACCCGCGGUGCAUUAGCUAGUUGGUGAGGUAACGGCUCACCAAGGCCGUGAUGCAUAGCCGACCUGAGAGGGUGAUCGGCCACAUUGGGACUGAGACACGGCCCAAACUCCUACGGGAGGCAGCAGUAGGGAAUCUUCCGCAAUGGACGCAAGUCUGACGGAGCAACGCCGCGUGAGUGAAGAAGGUUUUCGGAUCGUAAAACACUGUUGUUAGAGAAGAACAAGUGCUAGAGUAACUGUUAGCGCCUUGACGGUAUCUAACCAGAAAGCCACGGCUAACUACGUG